CGGGAGUCUCGUCUUGGCUGUUUGACCUCUGGUUUGUGUUGUCGGACCAUAAAAGCGCCGAAAUCGCAUGAAAUAAUGCGAUUUCAGGUAUUCAGGAGGGCUUUUAUGCAUUUUGGUUCGUCGUAGCUGUUGUUGGCAGCAAGUGUUGGUUGAGGAUAACCUCUGGACUGAUUGUCCAAGGCCCCAAACCCUUGCGAAGAUCG
Molecule: long non-coding RNA, 203 nt
Filed under: Ananas comosus (pineapple)
Lineage: Eukaryota; Viridiplantae; Streptophyta; Magnoliopsida; Poales; Bromeliaceae
Description: long non-coding RNA (ACOM_LNC039789)
Source: RNAcentral